Molecule: small nuclear RNA, 107 nt
Organism: Sphaerodactylus townsendi
Lineage: Eukaryota; Metazoa; Chordata; Lepidosauria; Squamata; Sphaerodactylidae
Source: RefSeq, a predicted model, not a curated record
GUGCUCGCUUCGGCAGCACAUAUACUAAAAUUGGAACGAUACAGAGAAGAUUAGCAUGGCCCCUGCACAAGGAUGACACGCAACUAAAUUAAAAAAACAAAAAAACA